This 568-nucleotide ribosomal RNA is filed under the name Cittarium pica. Its description in RNAcentral is "partial 16S ribosomal RNA". It matches the Rfam family "Bacterial large subunit ribosomal RNA", at positions 1816 to 2597 of the family's 2925-position model. Lineage: Eukaryota; Metazoa; Mollusca; Gastropoda; Trochida; Tegulidae. The record is from RNAcentral.
CGCUCCUUGUUUUAGUAUUAAGUAAAGAUAGGGAGUCGGACCUGCCCAGUGACUUAUGAGUUAAACGGCCGCGGUACUCUGACCGUGCAAAGGUAGCAUAAUCAUUUGCCUUUUAAUUGGAGGCUGGUAUGAAUGGUUUGACGAGGGCUGAGCUGUCUCCCCCUAAAUUUUUAAAAAUUAUCUUUUAGGUGAAGAGACCUAAAUUUAAUUGAGGGACAAGAAGACCCUGUUGAGCUUUAGUAAACUGGAGAUUUAUUAGUGAAGGUAUAAAAAAUACCUCUUGAUCCUACUCAAGUAGCGAUAAAAAUUUUCAGAAAUCUUUAGUUGGGGCGACUGAGGAACACAAAAAGCUUCCUUAUUCUUCUAAUAGUUUAGAUUUUUGUAGAUAUAUUUAAAAAGGAAAGAUCCGGUAGAUACCGAUCAAUAGAAAAAGUUACCACAGGGAUAACAGCGUAAUCUUUCUGGAGAGUUCUUAUCGAAAGAAGGGUUUGCGACCUCGAUGUUGGACUAAGAUAUCCUGGGGGUGUAGCAGCUCCUAAUGGUUGGUCUGUUCGACCAUUAAAAUCUU